Molecule: ribosomal RNA, 253 nt
Filed under: uncultured bacterium
Lineage: Bacteria
Description: partial 16S ribosomal RNA
Rfam family: Bacterial small subunit ribosomal RNA
Source: RNAcentral
UACGUAGGGUCCAAGCGUUGUCCGGAAUUACUGGGUAUAAAGGGUGCGCAGGCGGGCUUGUGCGUCGAGGGUUAAAGACCCGAGCUUAACUCGGGAAGUGCCCUCGAUACGGCAAGUCUUGAGUAUGAGAGAGGAUAGUAGAAUUCCUGGUGUAGCGGUGAAAUGCGUAGAUAUCAGGAGGAAUACCAGUGGCGAAGGCGGCUAUCUGGCUCAUAACUGACGCUUAGGCACGAAAGCGUGGGGAUCAAACAGG